UUUUUAAUAAAUUUUUGCGCCGCGCGAGAAACGAUGACGCACGUGCGCGGUAUUUAUUAAACAAUGUUUCUUAUUUUUGGCGUUUGCGGUAAGUUAUAGCUUGCGGCGCGGUACUCACGCGUCUAGGGGCGGCGUUGCGGUGGCAAAGGUAGCGCGUUGUGAAAGGGGUCGAAACCGCGGUGGAAAGCCCGUCUUUGUUGUUGUGCGGGAGAGUACGUGGUACGGUGCGGUAUCCGUUAUUAGGAGCGGUGGAAAAGAAUGUACGGAGGUGUUUAUGGUGGAGCUGGGAGGGGCUAGAAUAAGGGAAGAAGGCGGGAGUAACAUGUCGGACGCGAUCAUACCAGCACUAAAGCGACCGGAUCCCAUCAUAACUUCGAAGUUAAGCGUGCUUGGGCGAGAGUAGUACUAGGAUGGGUGACCUCCGGGAAGUCCUCGUGUUGCAUUCUC
This 447-nucleotide ribosomal RNA is filed under the name Hordeum depressum. Lineage: Eukaryota; Viridiplantae; Streptophyta; Magnoliopsida; Poales; Poaceae. The record is from RNAcentral.